UACGUAGGGUGCAAGCGUUGUCCGGAAUUAUUGGGCGUAAAGAGCUCGUAGGCGGUUUGUUGCGUCGGCUGUGAAAACCCGGGGCUCAACCCCGGGCCUGCAGCCGAUACGGGCAGACUAGAGUUCGGCAGGGGAGACUGGAAUUCCUGGUGUAGCGGUGAAAUGCGCAGAUAUCAGGAGGAACACCGGUGGCGAAGGCGGGUCUCUGGGUCGUACCUGACGCUGAGGCGCGAAAGCGUGGGGAGCGAACGGG
This 253-nucleotide ribosomal RNA is filed under the name uncultured bacterium. Its description in RNAcentral is "partial 16S ribosomal RNA". It matches the Rfam family "Bacterial small subunit ribosomal RNA", at positions 524 to 776 of the family's 1533-position model. The record is from RNAcentral.